Phytophthora sojae is the source of this 73-nucleotide transfer RNA. It matches the Rfam family "tRNA". From Rfam's summary of the family: Transfer RNA (tRNA) molecules are approximately 80 nucleotides in length. Their secondary structure includes four short double-helical elements and three loops (D, anti-codon, and T loops). Further hydrogen bonds mediate the characteristic L-shaped molecular structure. tRNAs have two regions of fundamental functional importance: the anti-codon, which is responsible for specific mRNA codon recognition, and the 3' end, to which the tRNAs corresponding amino acid is attached (by aminoacyl-tRNA synthetases). tRNAs cope with the degeneracy of the genetic code in two manners: having more than one tRNA (with a specific anti-codon) for a particular amino acid; and 'wobble' base-pairing, i.e. permitting non-standard base-pairing at the 3rd anti-codon position. NCBI's taxonomy places the organism in Eukaryota, Oomycota, Peronosporomycetes, Peronosporales, Peronosporaceae. The record is from Rfam.
GUCGGUGUCGUCUAGUGGUUAGAACGUGAGCUUAACACGCUCAAGAUCGAGGGUUCGAUCCCCUCCUCCGAUA